Juglans regia (Persian walnut) is the source of this 581-nucleotide long non-coding RNA. RefSeq lists it as uncharacterized. The transcript is spliced from 2 exons. Lineage: Eukaryota; Viridiplantae; Streptophyta; Magnoliopsida; Fagales; Juglandaceae. The record is from RefSeq and is a predicted model, not a curated record.
UAUUAUCAUUUCCAGUUUUUCCAAUUAAACUAAUCCGUCACCAUCGUCUUCCAAUAAUGUAAUAGGAUGCUUCAAAGAAACUCCCAUUGCCAGCCUUUAUGAUCCUGGUGGCCUUAUUUAUCACAAAAUUGCCUAGUCUUUUGUGAGCCUCUAUAAUUGGUUUAGCUCCUCUCUUCAAAACGAUAUAUGGGAACGCCACCUAAGCAGCUGCUGCUUCUGCUGCUGCUUAUACUGAUUGUUUCAACGUCCCAGCUGCAACCAGGAGGAGUUGCAGAAGCAAGGCCUAUUUCCUCAAUACCUCAACAAAGCCGAUACUCAAAGAUUUUCUCGACGCUAGGAAUUGUUUGCAAGUGUUGUGAUGGAGACAAAGGUGAAUGCACAAGUACACGGACGGAGUCCUGCUCUAAGCUCCAAUGCUUUCCCUGGAAACAAAACUAGCUAGUCACUGCAUCAUGUGGUUUUUGUUUUUUCUGGGUUUCUGUACAUAUUUUUACUAUUAAUUGAUAUAUAUAAACUGGGUUGAUCCCAUUAUGCCAUUUCAGUUCUGACCUUAUUAAUAGUUCAGUCACAGUUCCAACGCA